Molecule: long non-coding RNA, 341 nt
Organism: Acanthochromis polyacanthus (spiny chromis)
Lineage: Eukaryota; Metazoa; Chordata; Actinopteri; Pomacentridae
Exons: 2
Source: RefSeq, a predicted model, not a curated record
UCCAAAUGUUGACAAGGUGAGAUCUUCCUGUCUUUGCCUUUCAAAAUAAAAGCACAGCACAAUUUCAAAAUAAAAGCCUGCAACAGACCAAAAAAUGCCAGUUAAACCUCUCAGCUUCACACAGCCUUUGGAGUAACUCCAAUCCAAAUUUUGACCAGGUGAGAUCUUCAGGUCUCUGCCUUUCAAAAUUACUUUACAGCACAAUUUGCCAGUUAAACCUCUCAGCUUCACACAGCCUUUUGAGUAACUCCAAUCCAAAUUUUGACCAGGUGAGAUCUUCUUGUCUCUGCCUUUCAAAAUAAAAGCACAGCACAAUUUCAAAAUAAAAGCCUGCAACAGAC